CGUGCUGCGUUCAAUUACACUCGGAAAAUGACGUUUAAUUUUUUUCUCUCUCCCUUAAGUAGUUGAUGUACUUACCCAGAAGAAUUUACAAGAAGAAGAAGAAGUAUAAAUGCUCGAAAGACAUCCAAACAAACAUCAACUUACUGCGGCCAGUCAUGUUUUCCGAGGUUGCGCAGUGAAACACAUUUACCUCGGAAGUCGGAAUUUCCGACCCAGAUCUUUCCAAGUUCCGAGUGUAAUUGAACGCAGCAGAAGCAGCAGCGUUUUCUCAGGCACACCAGGCUGUAGUUCUGCACUGUUUUGUUUCAAAUACAAAGCCAGCUUACUUAUUUUCCUCUCAGCUUCCAGCAGCUCACAAAGAGAAAGUUAAUGCUGUGUAAUGCAUCUGUUUUCCAGAGCUUUUAAAAAGUGCAGUGCUGUUCCUGUCUGUAUUGAUAGUAGUAGUAAUGAUGCUGCUGCUAAUACAUCAGAGACAGCAGCUAGCAUAACUACUACUUUAGCAUCAGCAAGCACUGCUUCUCCUGUACCUUCCCCAACAAGUGCUGCCCCAAAGCAGCCUGCUCAGCUACCUAACCCAAUUCAAUGAAGAAAACACUGUUACUAUAAGCACAGGGGAAAAACAGUGCUGGAGCAUGAUGUGUACGCAUGAUGCCCCCUUCACAUUUCUGACUGCCCCCUCAUAUAUGCCUGCCUAGAACCGGCCCUGUGAAGCAGCCUUUAGAAGAGGGGAAAGUGAGGCAGGGCCAUGAGUGUUGCUACGCGAUUACAAGAUCAAACAUUGAUUGAUUUGACGGCCGAAACGUCUGCAGCUCACUGAUGGGAGCUUCGUGUCCUCAAAGUCAUCGUUUGACACUGAGACUGAGACGUUUAACCACAAGCUGCUGAAAACAGCCCACAGGGUAAGAUCCACCCACAGAGUCCACAGAGUUUAAAAACACUGCUUGAUGAAAACACGUCGGUGCUAAUAAAUUAAUUUCUGUUCAAUAUAAUAAUGAAGCCCGUCCCUGUGAUCAAAGCAAAGGGAGGUGAAGAUAAGGUAUAUAAGCACUGGAUUUCCCUCUCAAAGACACUCUGCUACCUGCUACUGCUGCAAGUGCAAACUCACCUGAUCGUCACAACAAGGUACGUCUCUCAUUCUUACCUUUCAUCAUGGCAUCAGCUGUUUAGAUUCUACAGAAAACAUUUCUGAUCUUUAUUACAUUUGGCGUUCACGUCAAGAGAAAAUCCUCUUUUCAUGUGUAAUUCUUUUCAAGGCCUUGUUUGUGCAAAACAUGUUUUCAUUCUAUCCUUGUACAUCACCAAAAGAGCAGUUUAGAAACUGUUGUUUUAAUGUUGUCAUUUAAGUCCGCAUUUAAACACUGAGUCUUUGCACAGAUGGGUUUUAGUAUGGCGGUUCCUCUCUUCACGGCUACGGCCUGUGGAAUGUCGCUUGAACCAGGUGUAAGUAAUGUGCACAAUGAAUUAUUCAUUUGAAAAACUCCUUUACUUUUGAUUGUAAACUUAAACCAAUUUUGAAACACUGUGUGUCUUUACACAGUUCCGGGCCUUUUAUCCCCUCCUCUGCACUGGGGAAUACUGAUGGGAGCACAUGCAUACGACACAUCUACAGGGAGAGAUGAUGGCAGCCAUAGCGACUGUGAUGGGAAGGCCUCCUCUUUCUGUGCCAGGCACCUGUGAAGAUCCCCACCAGGUGCUGACACAUGUGCCAUCAGGAUCCCCACUGAUGAUGUCACUUCCAGCAGUAUGACAUCACUGCUGGCAAAUCUAUUGACAGUUCUGAUGAAAUUUCAGCACAAUCAAUAAACAGAUGCAAACUCCCCAA
Molecule: long non-coding RNA, 1822 nt
Organism: Scatophagus argus
Lineage: Eukaryota; Metazoa; Chordata; Actinopteri; Scatophagidae
Exons: 3
Source: RefSeq, a predicted model, not a curated record